GGCCCUCUGGCGCAGUGGCAGCGCUUUUCCCUCCUAAGGAAAGGGUCGUGGGUUCAAUCCCCACGAGGGUCU
Molecule: non-coding RNA, 72 nt
Organism: Boothiomyces macroporosus
Lineage: Eukaryota; Fungi; Chytridiomycota; Chytridiomycetes; Rhizophydiales; Terramycetaceae
Source: the annotation of a GenBank genome assembly